GAUGAACGCUGGCGGCGUUCCUAAUACAUGCAAGUCGAGCGAACAGACGAGGAGCUUGCUCCUCUGACGUUAGCGGCGGACGGGUGAGUAACACGUGGAUAACCUACCUAUAAGACUGGGAUAACUUCGGGAAACCGGAGCUAAUACCGGAUAAUAUAUUGAACCGCAUGGUUCAAUAGUGAAAGACGGUUUUGCUGUCACUUAUAGAUGGAUCCGCGCCGCAUUAGCUAGUUGGUAAGGUAACGGCUUACCAAGGCAACGAUGCGUAGCCGACCUGAGAGGGUGAUCGGCCACACUGGAACUGAGACACGGUCCAGACUCCUACGGGAGGCAGCAGUAGGGAAUCUUCCGCAAUGGGCGAAAGCCUGACGGAGCAACGCCGCGUGAGUGAUGAAGGUCUUCGGAUCGUAAAACUCUGUUAUUAGGGAAGAACAAAUGUGUAAGUAACUAUGCACGUCUUGACGGUACCUAAUCAGAAAGCCACGGCUAACUACGUG
Molecule: ribosomal RNA, 497 nt
Filed under: uncultured bacterium
Lineage: Bacteria
Description: partial 16S ribosomal RNA
Rfam family: Bacterial small subunit ribosomal RNA
Source: RNAcentral